UUAAACAAAUAGAAAAGAAAGAAAUAGUCUUGAGCAAACAAACUAAAUAUUUUGAAAAAGUCUUUGAAAAAAUGCUCAGUGAUAAAGGUGCAAAUAUACACACAGAUGUUUUCACUGUAAGGGUCUUAUCCAGCAUGACUUUUGCACUCAGACGAUCUCUCAUGGCAAAUCAAAUCAGUGAUCAGCUGGAAAACUGCUGCCUCAUGCAUAAGUAGAGGCCAGCCUCUGACCCUUGUGCACUCUACACACCUGAUCUUACACACACACACACACACACACACAUAUACACACACACUCACAAAACAUUAAAGCUCUUAUCUAACCAACUCAAAGUGUGUCCAUGUGUGGGAACAUGCAAGAAGCAGACCAUAAAUUGACAUAUGGAUUUUUUCCCCUGGAGAGAAGUGACAUGGCUGCACAGACGUGGCAGUCAAUGCCACUGAGCUCAUUGCCCCUUGUUGAUCUGAGAGAGGCCAAGGGCAAUAAGUGAUGAGUGUGUAUGUUUUCGAAGAAUCUUACUAUAAUACAGCAUCCAUACACUAUCAAGUAUUUUAUACCCCUUCCCCUUUCUCUCUGUCUGUAUCUGCAAUUCAAUACUACACAGUCUGACUCACCAGCUGCUCUCACAGAACAGAGCGCUUGUAUUCACACUGGCUAGAGAAGACAAUGCAGGUUUUGUUUUCUUUUUAUUUAGUCUGUUUGAUGUCAAAAGAGGCAUGAGGUGGCAGAUGCAAGUGGGUUUUUUUUCUUUUACCGGAGCCCUUUCUCAAACCUCUGUGAUUAAGUGAAUCACCUGACACAAAGCUAGUUCUAAAUUAGAGCUCCUUCUCUGCUGGUGAAUCUUGCCAGAAUUGUACGUCGAUGGAUGCUGCUCCUGCAAAGGGACCAUUAAUAGUGUGGUGAUCAUCAUCGAUUUCCCCCAGCAGAGACACUUCAGCCGGACUCACAUGGAGAGCUCAAGUCUCAUGCAGCUGUAUCUACAUGACAGUUUCCUGUUUGUCACGGUGACAUCAGAGAGCAGAUGUUCAGGCAACACAUCCCACAACAACAAUCUACCUGAGAGCUGCAGCGCGCACACAUUCACCCUCACACACAGACACACUCUUAUCUUUGCUGCUGCAUAAAUGCUUCCUCAUGUUCUUGUCCUCUUUCAUCUCAUUGUCUUUCUCUCCCCCUCCCCUCACUGAGAGCACAACACACAAAAUGGGAAAUAAAGUGCUGACUGUGAAAGGGAUGACGCAGUAAACAUAGCUGCUCUGAAUAUCUAAAUUAAAAUUGGCCUUGUGUAUCGUUUGAAUUAUUCAUAAUGGUAAACUGGAUUCAGCUGCUACUACAGGGCAAGAGAAAACCUGAGUUACAGUUAAAGUCGGGUAGAUUACUCCAUUUAACUUGCUAACGUGUUAGAUUAUAGUUAAUGAACUAUAG
Siniperca chuatsi (mandarin fish) is the source of this 1425-nucleotide long non-coding RNA. RefSeq lists it as uncharacterized. Lineage: Eukaryota; Metazoa; Chordata; Actinopteri; Centrarchiformes; Sinipercidae. The record is from RefSeq and is a predicted model, not a curated record. The transcript has 3 exons.